GCCACAAAUGCCCAGGUAUAAAGUAGCUAAGUGACUUACCUCUCCCUGCUUCACUCUUCCUCUUAUCCACACCAGCACUAUACCUUUGCCAUCAGUUCUUGUUUUCACUCCUGCUGCGACAAUGAAAAUCUUGGCUCUGUAUCUGAUGGUGGUGUUGAUAGCGGUCUCUGCAUUUGCCGCCCCUUCGCCCUCCCCCAGUCCUUCUUUUGGUUACGGAUAUGGAGGAUAUAGAGGCGGAUUCGGACGCGGCUUCGGCCAUAGAUUUGGACACGGGUUCGGACAUAGUCGAGGUUUUGGCCGCGGUUUCGGAUUUGGUAGCUUCGGUGGCUACGGAUACGGACGCGGCUAUGGAUACAGAGGAUACUGGUGAGUGACUUCAUCCCUUCGUCAGUAUACAGACCAGUGUGUUUCUCGCCUUCUUGAGAGAAGUAUACCUGCAGUGAUCGGCGAGCAAAUCAUAUUGAUUUUUGCAUUUGCAGUAAGGGCUUCCGUAGCUUGCAGUUAUUAUUUCAUCACUGGAAUGACAAUGUAUUCAGUCCACUUUCUCUUUUUCUUGGCACUUCUUAUAUUGUAACCUACUAAGUUAAGCGUUAGCGAAACUUUGAACCCAGUAAACGUAAACACCUGUUUCACCUUCCAGUCUCAUUAUUAAAAGAAUGUUAAGUAUAAACAAUUAUAAACUGACAUAGAAA
This is a long non-coding RNA of Portunus trituberculatus (swimming crab), 692 nucleotides long. RefSeq lists it as uncharacterized. Lineage: Eukaryota; Metazoa; Arthropoda; Malacostraca; Decapoda; Portunidae. The record is from RefSeq and is a predicted model, not a curated record. The transcript has 3 exons.